GUGAGGAAUAUUGGUCAAUGGGCGGGAGCCUGAACCAGCCAAGUCGCGUGAAGGAAGAAGGAUCUAUGGUUCGUAAACUUCUUUUGCUGGGGAAUAAAGUGCAGGACGUGUCCUGUUUUGUAUGUACCCUGAGAAUAAGGAUCGGCUAACUCCGUGCCAGCAGCCGCGGUAAUACGGAGGAUCCGAGCGUUAUCCGGAUUUAUUGGGUUUAAAGGGUGCGUAGGUGGUUUGAUAAGUCAGCGGUGAAAGUUUGCAGCUUAACUGUAAAAAUGCCGUUGAAACUGUCGGACUUGAGUGUAAAUGAGGUAGGCGGAAUGCGUGGUGUAGCGGUGAAAUGCAUAGAUAUCACGCAGAACUCCGAUUGCGAAGGCAGCUUACUAAGCUACAACUGACACUGAAGCACGAAAGCGUGGGGAUCAAACAGGAUUAGAUACCCUAGUAGUCC
This 445-nucleotide ribosomal RNA is filed under the name uncultured bacterium. RNAcentral's name for it is "partial 16S ribosomal RNA". It matches the Rfam family "Bacterial small subunit ribosomal RNA", at positions 354 to 796 of the family's 1533-position model. The record is from RNAcentral.